Molecule: long non-coding RNA, 415 nt
Organism: Hippocampus comes (tiger tail seahorse)
Lineage: Eukaryota; Metazoa; Chordata; Actinopteri; Syngnathiformes; Syngnathidae
Exons: 2
Source: RefSeq, a predicted model, not a curated record
UCUGUUGCCCCAAGGUGGGUCUAACUUUCCUUUUGUAUUCAUGUUUGAUGGGAUUAAGGAGCCCGAGGGUUGUGUGGUGGACAAAGGACAGAGGAGAGGCGACGUUGCAGUUGACUAACUUCACUCACACAACUAGCUGAGCCUGGAAAGAGGUCACUGAGAGAAUGGACGAGCAGAUGGGAAAGGGAGGACUGAUGAAAUGCAGAGGAAAACCUUCACCCUGUGUAUCAAAGCAAGGCAAAGGGACAGACAUGAUUCAUAAGGAUGCAUUGACACAACAUGGAGAAAGAAUGGAAAACCCACAGUAUGGAGAAAGUCUCCAGGCACAGAGAGAUGAUUACUACCUCGUAAAAGGAGGAUUUUUAAUUUUUUUUUUUUUUAAAGGUCAUCAAUUGAGUAAAAUGAUCAAACAUUA